Homo sapiens (human) is the source of this 713-nucleotide long non-coding RNA. RefSeq lists it as uncharacterized. Lineage: Eukaryota; Metazoa; Chordata; Mammalia; Primates; Hominidae. The transcript is spliced from 5 exons. The record is from RefSeq and is a predicted model, not a curated record.
GUGAUCGUCGAAUCUGUUGACCUGGCGCCACCGGAAAAAGAAAUUCCCGGGCCCUGGCUUCUUGGCCUGAUGGUGAGGCACCAGAGGCACUGCUAGCCUUGAAGCCUCCAGCCUGCUGGAUGCCUCCAUCCCCGGCUAUGCUGUGGCUCUCCUCAUUCUAGGCCUCCUGCUCGUCACAUUCACCCUUGUCCUGGUGCUAAAGUGGAGGGCCUCCCAUGGGGUGUUCAGCCUGGGUGUGUAGAAGCACACAGUGUGGUACAGAGGACCCUCUCCAGACAGCUGCCUCCCACCAACCCUAGAAAUGAUGCUGGGAGCUGACAGAAACUGAACUUAGGAGCACAGGAGGCCAGGAGACCUGGGACAGAGAACAGGAGGUGACCCCUCAUGCUGCUGCUCCCUCUGCUGAAACCCAAACUGCAAACCUCUCCUCUCCCUGCCUUCACCUUGCCCCACGGCUUCCACAGACAGUGCCUCAACCCCGAGGAAUGAAUCCGAAGUUCCAACACCACUGACUUUCCCAGGAACUCAGAGCCAGAGAGGGCCAAGGACCAGCUCGAGGACACACAGCCAGGGCUUCUUCCCUCCGAAACCCCCAAGGACUGGACUUGCAGGGCUGGGACAGAGGUGGGGUGGGGGAAAGCAAUGCCUUGUCAACCCACGUGGGGAGCCCCACUCCCAUCCCCAAGGUGCAUAAAGUUGAGGAACACCCCUGC